RNAcentral lists this long non-coding RNA (416 nucleotides) under Paramuricea clavata. The record is from RNAcentral. Lineage: Eukaryota; Metazoa; Cnidaria; Anthozoa; Malacalcyonacea; Plexauridae.
CCCGCUUUGUCGGGACGAGAUGUGAGGCGGGAUGAUUUUGACGUAUUGAAAUAAGUCACGGUGCACGAUUUAGCAAAAUGACAUUACUUUUCUAGUGAUAGAUUACAGUAUAAUAAACUAUAAUUGUAAACGAAAGGUUGUUCAAGCAACAAUAAUAAUCUUCUUGAACUACGAGAUCUUCUCUAACAACAUUUGAGUUUCUUUAACCGUUGUUUGAAAGUUCGUUUAAGCCUAGUCAUUUAUUUCAAUACACCAAAAUCAUCCCGCCUUCCAUCCCGUCCCGGCAACAAGUGUUUACAUGGAAGAAAACGUCCCGGUUGAAGUGGGAUCCCGGUUGCACAAACCGGGAUCCCGCUUGCCCGGGACGGGACGAAAAACGUCGCGCUUCCAUAUAAACAUCUGGUGAUAAAUAUAAU